Non-coding RNA from Rattus norvegicus (Norway rat), 10621 nucleotides. NCBI's taxonomy places the organism in Eukaryota, Metazoa, Chordata, Mammalia, Rodentia, Muridae. The record is from RefSeq and is a predicted model, not a curated record.
UAGAACAGUCUGCCACCAACAGCAGUGAGGGCAGGAACUCAAGCAGGGCAGGAACCUGAAGGCAGGAGCUGAGACAGAGGCCAUGGAGGAUGCUGCUGACUGGCUUGCUCCUCAUGGCUUGUUCAGCCUGCUUCCUUAUAGAACCCAGGACCAUUAGCCUAGGGAUGGCCCCACCCACAAUGGGCUGGGCCCUCUCCCAUUAAUCACUAAUUAAGAAAAUGCCCUCUAUCUGGGUGUAGUGGCACAAACCAUUCCUUCCAACACUUGGGAGGCAGAGGCAGUAGAUCUCUCUGAGUUCAAGGUCAGCCUGGUCUAUAUGGUGAGUUCCAGGACAUCUGGAGCUACAUAGGGAGACCCUGUCUCAAAAAAUUAAAAGCAAAAUUAAAAGCCAGUCUGUAGCUUGAUCUAAUAGAGACAUUUUCUCAAUUGAGGGUCCCUCCUCUCCGGUGACUCUAGCUUUGUUAACAUGAAACCAGCCAGCACAGGUAAGAAGGGAGCUUUAAUUGCUAAAGUCUUCUUUAUGGUUCUCAGGGAUUGUUCAGAGCAAAAAUCCACCUGAAUGCUGAAGUUUACUAAAAGACCACUGGGUUCUUGCUCAUUUAAUCUUUCUCCCCGUUUCUUAUCAAAUCCUUCAGCAAAACUCACUAGGAACAUAACUAGAAGCAAAGGAAGUUUGGUUUCUGCCUCAUUUAUAAAGGUGUGCACCAUGGGGUCUGGGUAAGGGAUCAAUCUUAGUAGAUGUUGAAAGAGCUGAUUGGCCCUGCGCUGAGCUGUGAGAGGCGUCUGUGGAAGUUGGGUUUAGCCAUGAGUAGAUGUCAGGAGUCAAAUAGUCUCUGCCAGGCGGGUUUGUUUGUUUGCAUUAUGUUAUGGUUUGUAUAUGCUCAACCCAAGGAGUGGCCCUGUUAGGAGGUGUAGCCUCAUUAGAGUGGGUGUGGCCUUGCCAGAGUGGGUGUGGCCGUGCCAGAGUGGGUGUGGCCUUGUUAGAGUGGGUGUGUCACUGUGGGCAUGAGCUUUAAGACCUUCAUCCUAGCUGCCUGGGAAUCAGUCUUCCACCAGCAGCCUUCAGAUGAAGAUGUAGAACUCUCAGCUCCUCCUGCGCCAUGUCUGCCUGGAUGCUGCCAUGCUCCUGCCUUGAUGAUAAUGGACUGAACCUCUGAACCUGUAAGCCAGCCCCAACGAAAUGUUGUCUUAUAAGAGUUGUCUUGGGGGGUUGGGGAUUUAGCUCAGCGGUAGAGCGCUUGCCUAGCGAGCGCAAGGCCCUCCCUGGGUUCGGUCCCCAGCUCCGGAAAAAAAAGAAAAGAAAAAAAAAGAGAGUUGUCUUGGUUAUGGUGUCUGUUCACAGCAGUAAAACCCUAACUAAGACACAUUCUAUUUAUUUAUUUGGAAGAAAGGCAUGGAUUUGCCACAGUGCCAGUGUGGUUCAAGAACUCCUUGUGGGAGAAGCCAGUUCUCUCCUCCCACCAUGUGAGUUCCAGGGAUCAAACUUAGGUUUGGUGCCAAGUACCUUUAACCGCUGUCCAUCCCACUGGACCUAAGACUAUCUAAAGCUAUCUGGGGUGGUUAGUUUUAACUGUUAACUUGGUACAUCCUAGAGUCACCUGGAAAGAAAAAUCAGACUGGCCUUUGGGAGUGUCUGUAAGGGACUGCCUUGAUUGUGUUUAUUGAUGUAGGAAGACCCAUCCUGAAUGUGAGCAGCCCCUUCCCUGGUUUGGCUCCUGGACUGUGGAAGGAAAGCUAAGUAUUCAAGCUUCCAAGGUGUCGUGGGGAACAGACAGUGGGUGGUGGUCAUGUGAUCAGCUGCUUCCCAUUCCAGCUGCUGCGAGUCCCCUGAAGUGAUAGCCGGGAACCUGGGGCUGUAGGCUAAAGUAAACCAUUGCUCCCCUAAGCUGCUUCUCAGCAGGAUAUUUUACAUAGCAACAGAAAUGAAACAAAGACAGCAUCUCAUCUGGAAGACAGAAAGAACCUUCUACAGCCCGUGAGAGGCUAAGGCUGUUGGUAACAAGUGUUUGUCAUACACAGACAUUUUAAAGAUUUAUUUUAUUUUAUGACUCUGUGUGUAUGUACACUGUGUGUGUGUGUGUGUGUGUGUGUGUGUGUGUGUGUGUACAGGAAUCCAAGGAGUCCAGAACAGGGUCAUAUUACAGGCCCCCUGGAACUAGAAUUACAGGCAGUUGCGAGCCACCAUGUGGGUCCUCUGCAAGAGCACUAAGUGCUCUUAACUGCUGAGAUAUCUCUCUAGCCCCACGGGAGCCACUUCUUCAGUUCUAACAAUGCUCUUUGUGUGUGUGUGUGUGUGUGUGUGUGUGUGUGUGUGUGUCUGUAUACACAUGUGUUUUGUGUGUAUGUAUGAGUGUGUGUGGUAUUACAUAUAAGUGUGUGUACAAAUGUUUGUAUGUAGUGUGUGAAAGAGUGUGUGUGUGCUACAUGUGUGUGCCAUGUGUGUAUGUGUGUGUAUGAGUGUGUGCUGUAUAUAUGUUUGUGUCUGAGUAUAUGUGUGUUUGCUGUGUGUGUACAAGUGUGCAUGUAUAUAAGUGUUUUGAGUGUUGUAUGUGUAUCUGUGUGAGUGUGUGUGAAUUUGUGUGUUGUAUGUGAGUGUGUGUGCUGAGUAUUGUGUGUGUUAUGUGUGUGUGAGUGUGUGUAUGUGUGUGAGUAUGUGUGUAUGCUGUAUGUGUUUGAGUAUGUGUGUGUGUGUGCUAUGUGUGUGAAUGUGUGUGUGCUGUGUAUGUAUAUGUGUAUAUAUGUGUGUGCUAUGUGUGUGAGUGUAUGUGUGUGUGCUGUGUGUGUGAGUGUGUGUAUGUGUGUAUGUAUGCUAUAUGUAUGAGUGUGUGUGCUGUGUAUAUGUGUGAGAGUGUGUGUGUGUGUGUGUGCAUGUGUGUGUGUGUGUGUGUGUGUGUGUGUGUGUGUUUAGCCAGUGGACAAUUCUGGAUGUCAUUAGUCAGGCAUCAUUUUUUUGAGGGGGGUGUCUCACUCACUGUCCUAAGACCGGCCAUGUAGUCUACACAGCAAACCAGAAAGCACCAGGAUCCAGCUGUCUCAACCUCCCCAGAAUGAACUACAAACACCCACGGCUGUUACUGUUACUAUUACUGUAACUGGUUGGUUUCGCUGUAAUGCUGGGACUGUACCCAGGACCUAAGCACAUGCUGAGCAAGCACACUGUUGCCUAGACAACUACCUCUUCCUGGAAAUGUAUUUUUAGAUUUUAAGGUUGGGGCUGCAGAGACGGCUCAGCAGUUAAGAGCAUACUGCUUUUGCAGAGGACCAGAUUCAGUUCCCAACACCCACAUCAGGCAAUGCGCAACCACCCACACAUAAUUGUAGUUCCUGGGAAUCCAAUGCCUUCCGGCCUCACUGGACACCUGCACCCGUGUCAUACACAUAAACAAAAAUAAACGACGACACCUUUGCAAUUUAACUCUUAAAUUUCUAAAUAUCUCUGUACUUUCAGAUCACCUUUCUGCAGCUGAUUGUCCAACUUUUCAUUAUUAACACAGUUACCCAUACUGCCUUAACUCUCAUUGGGUAGCACUACCAGGCUAGUUUUGAGCUCACACAGCCUCAGCCUUGCCAGUGCUGGGAUCACAGGCAGGAGCUUUGAAAUCUGUUGGGUGGUGAGUUUGCUCCACCUUCAAGUGCCUGCCAAUUUUACCAUCACUUGUGACAGAAAGUGCUGAGACCUACCUCCAGGACAGCGUGGCUUCCUCUUGCCAUCUUCCCAAUUCUGUCUAGGUUGGCUUUAUGUAUUAUAAGAUUCCUUUUUCAGUAUAUGCCGAGUUGAAAUGUCUUGGAUAAACCAAUUCUUUUAUCCUCAGGUAAUAUCCACUUUUUUUUUUUAAAGAUUUAUUUACUUUAUUUAUAUGAGUACAUUGUAGCUGUUUUUCAGACACACCAGAAGAGGGCAUCAGAUCCCAUUACAGAUGGUUGUGAGCCACCAUGUGGUUGCUGGGAAUUGAACUCAGGACCUCAGGAAGAACAGUCGGUGCUCUUAACCACUGAGCCAUCUCUCCAGCCCCGUAAUAUCCACUUUUAUCCCUGCCUCCAGCGCCUGUUCUGAACUCAGGUUUGUCUGUACUUCUCUGGUCUCUUUAAAUGGAGCACGCACAGUUGGGUCAUGUGUUUUCAAUCCAAUCCGAUAAUCUCUGUAUUUUAGUUGGUGUGUUUAAACCAUUUACAUGUAAUGUAGUUGUUGUUGUGAUUCAGUUUAAGCCUCCUACGUUUCGUGAUUUGUUGCCCCCUCUUCUUUUCCACUUUUUAAAAAUUCCUUUAUUAUACCUUCCUCAUUCUCUUGAGUCAUUUGGAUGGUUUUAGUGCCUUAAUUUAUCUGUAUCAUUGUUUUUUUUUUAUUUUUACUUAUUUGUGUGUGUGUGUGUGUGUGUGUGUGAGAGAGAGAGAGAGAGAGAGAGAGAGAGAGAGAGAGGGAGAGGUAUGUCAUGGCCCAUGAGUGGGGUCAGAGGACAACUUUGUAGGUCAGUUCUCUUUACCUUUACAUGGGUUCUAGGGAUUGAACUUGUAUCCUCAAGCUUGUGACAUUAGGUGACAAGUGCCUUCAUCCACUGAGCUAUCUUGCUAGUUCAGGGUUGUUUUCCUACUAUCUUUCUAUACUGGAGAGCUGGUGAGUAAGACACACACACAGCUGACCCGUCUUUUUGCUGCUCCACUGUGGAGUUACGUCUUCCACAGUUUGGGAAGUGUCCUAGCUAGGUUUAUGCUAACUUAACACAAGCUAGAGUCAUCUGAAAGGUGAGAAUCUCAAUUUAGAAAAUGCCUCCAUAAGAUCCAGCUGUAUGCCACUUUGAUGGGAGAGGGACCAGCCCACUGUGGGCGGUGUCAUCUCCUAUACUGGUGGUCCUGGGCUCUAUAAGAAAGCAAGCUGAGCAAACCAAGGGGAGCAAACCAGUAUUCAGCGCACACACACACACACACACACACACACACACACACACACACACACACACCCCAAGGCCUCUCCAUCAGCUCCUGCCUAACUUCCUUCAGUGAUGAAUAGUAAUGUGGAAGUGUAAGCUGAAUUAACCCUUUCCUCUCCAACUUGCUUUAGUCAUGGUGUUUCAUCACAUCAAUACCAACCCUGAAUAAAGGAGGAAGCCUUCAGUCUUUAUGCCUUCAUAUAUAUUUCUACAGUGUUAUAGAAUGAACACACCUUCCCACUGAAAAAUCACAUCAGCACUUAGAAAUUAAUAAGGAAAAUCUCCCUAAUAAUAGCACAAGGCUGGUUCUGGCUACUGCACAAAAGGGAGCCAGCCCCAAACAGAAAUUUCCAUCAGUUGACUUAGUUUCACACCUUCAGCUUAGAGUUUGAGCAACUAAACAUGUUUCCUGGAGACAGAAAUUUCAAGAUGGGUGGUUUGGACGAACAGGGAGAUUAGCAAUGUCAAAAUAUUGCCACAUUGUCUCUGGAUGAACCAGGACUGCUGUCCCCAGACAGCUGCUAUCCAGGGCCAUCCUGCCUGACUAGCAGAACCAUGCUCUUCCCAACAAGAGAACUGGGGAGCGCUCCUUUAUCUAAAUUCUACCUUGUGUAACUUAGUUUUUCUUAAGCAACUUUAGCAGAUCCUUUGUAAUAUCAACAUAUUGCUCCCCGUUUGUCCAAGAUGAUUACAGUGUCUUUCUCCUUAUUUCUGAAACUCUAAUAGCACAAAUAGCUAGAUCUUUGUGCGUUACCCACCGCAAAGAGCCCUUAAGAUUUAUCUGAUUUCUGAGCUGCAUUUUCAAGUAGGAUACUUUAAUUUUUUUUUCCCCCCGGAGCUGAGGACCGAACCUAGGGCCUUGUGCUUGCUAGGCAAGCAUUCUACCACUGAGCUAAAUCCCCAACGCCAGGAUACUUUAAUUUUGAUUCUGGUUGGUUUUGUUUCCUUGUGUUGUCCUCAUUCUGAUACAAUGUUUCAGAUGUUGAGUUUUCUGGUUAAAAGUUUCUGUUCUUUUUCACGAUUUCUAUUUUCUGUUGGUGGAAUGCUAAGUGUGUUGUCCCAGCAUCUAGAGCACCUGGCAUUGUUAGCCUGCCAUUUUCUUUUUCCUGGAGAAUAACUCAUCUUUUCAUGGUGUUUCCUGUGUCGGAUAACUUUUUUUUUUCUUUUUUCUUUUUUUCGGAGCUGGGGACCGAACCCAGGGCCUUGCGCUUGCUAGGCAAGCGCUCUACCACUGAGCUAAAUCCCCAACCCCGUCGGAUAACUUUUGAUGCUUUGAUGACUGUGUUGUGGGACUCCAUCUUCCCAUAGCUCCCUGGCAAUCACUGAGUAGAUACAUGCCAGUCCCAUCUUGUCAUUUCUGCCAAGAGUUCCUGUCACUUAAGCUGUUAGAAUCUAUCCUCUCUCUGUUCCUUUGGGUGUAGCUCAUGCUUGUGCCAUUUAGAGGCUAAACUAGGACCCAGGCAGUUUCAAUUAAAACCUCAGCUCUUUCCACCUUCAUCGUGCUGUUCUGGAUACACACACACACACACACACACACAAGAAAGGUUACUAGUUAUUCUUCUGUUGCUGUGAAAAAAUGUCUGACCAGCGCAACAGAAGAAAGGAAAGGUCUAUUUUAGCUGAUGGUGUAAGGGCUCGAUCCAUCACAGCAGGAAGGCCUGGGCACAGGAGCAUGGUCACACGGCAUCCACACUCGGAUGUGAAGCAAGCAGAUGCUGAAUGCUGUGCUCAGUUCCCUUUUCUCUGCCUUAUUGGGUUUGGGUUACAGCCCAGUUGCCUCAUAGACCAGAGUCCGUACCUGUCUGAAUCCCCAGCCCAAACCCCAGGAGCAUUUUUAUCUAUCUCUCUAACUUGCCUUUUGAGACAGGGUCUUUCUGUGUAACCCUGGCUGUUGUGGAACAUGCUCUGUAGACCAGGCUGGCCUCAAACAAACUCACAGGGACCUGCCUGCCUCUGUCCCCCAAGUGCUGGGAUUAAAGACAUAUGCCACCACAUGUCUUCAGGAGCAUUUUAUUUUAUUCUUUAAGGCUUCCUUUUAUAUGUAUUGGUGUUUUGCCUGUGUGUAUGUACACCGCAUGCAUGGCUGGUACCUGAGAAGAGGGCGUGAGAUCCCCUGGAACUGGAGUUACAGGUAGUUGUGAGCCACCAGGUGUGUGCUGGGAAUUGAACCUAGGUCCUCUGGACGAGCAGCCAGUACUGUUAACCACUGAGCCAUCUCUCCAGCCCCAUCCAUGAGCAUUUAAAUGCUCACCCUAUACCUCUAACUAUUGGGGUGUCUGUUACACAGCCUGGGAACUUCAGACAGUGUGAAACUGUGCUCACCCGAGGCUAUGUUCUAUCUACUCUCCGCCUUGGUACUCUCUACCUUCCCCCACUGUUUGAUCCCUUUAAAUAAUCAUUCCGUUAAGAGCAAUGGUCAGCCAGGUGUGUUGUACCAACUGUCAAGUCCAGCCUGGGCAGCAAUGUGGUGAUAUGUAAAGUAAAGCCUUUAGGUGUGGCUUUGAGUAAAAUGUUUCGGCAAAGCCUCUGCUGUUGGGUUAAUCGGUAGAGGCUGAGAAAUUGUUUUGAGAGUGUUUGAACCUUGAAGAGACGUCGUGUCUCUGGAAGGUCUGCACUUGGUGCUACAUGAGAGCUUGCCGCUGCACAAAUCUUGGUCCCAAGACACUCCUGGCCAACCUGGAGUUCUUACUAUUAAUUUCCAGCUAGCCAUGGUCAAAAGGGACUGAGAUCUGUGGACUAUUUGCUCUCUCUGGUAGCAAUGAUAAAAAAAAAAUACUUUGGUAGUUGGAACCUUUCCCAGCCCCAAUAAUUUUGUCUAAUGAUUGACUAAAAGUCGCUAGAGUGAGCUAGAUAUAAUCAGUCUUUUGUCCAAGAAGGCUGAGCCUCUCUGCUCCUUUGGAAAAUGAAGGCUUAGCAUCUUGAUGGGCUUCUGUCUGUAGUGCGGCACCUACGACCGACAUCAGUCAAUCUGACAUAGGGAAAUUCUGCCCUGAGAGUCUGAAGAUACACCUCGGUGAUUAAGAACAUACAAUCCCGGGCUGGAGAGAUGGCUCAGCUGUUAAGAGCACCCGACUACUCUUCCAGAGGUCCUGAGUUCAAUUCCCAGCAACCACAUGGUGGCUCACAACCAUCUGUAAUGGGAUCUGAUGCCCUCUUCUGGUGUGUGUGAAGACAGCUACAGUGUACUUAUAUAUAAUAAAUGAAUAAAUCUUAAAAAAAAAAAAACCAUACACUCCCUGCUGAGGACGUGAGUUCAGUUGGGUGUUCACACCUGCCUGUGACUCCCGCUCCAGAGGAAUCUGAUGCCCUCUUCUGGCCUCUGUGGGCGUGCGUACACAUGCUUGGUGCCCUGGCGCUAGGUAUGGCUCGGUGAUUAGAAGCUGUGGCCACGGGGUUGGGGAUUUAGCUCAGUGGUAGAGCGCUUGCCUAGGAAGCGCAAGGCCCUGGGUUCGGUCCCCAGCUCCGGAAAAAAAAAAAAAAAAAAGAAGCUGUGGCCACUCCUGCAGAGGUCCUGGCUCUGGUUCUCAGCAUCCACACGGCAGCUCACAACUGCCUGUAAGUCCACUUCCAAAGUACCCGACAUCCUCGUCUGGCAUCCCAGGCAGGCGUAUGGUGCAUGGACCUAUAUACAGAAAAACACACAUAUACACGAAAUAAAUGUAAGUGAACAAAACAUAAGCAAAUACAUUUUUCUGAAGGAGCGUAGCAGGCUGCGGGUGGGUGUCACCCAAAGACUCUCGUCACACUGGUUUGGGAAGUACUUCAAGCGGUUAGCCAGGAUGGCUUCGGCCUCGUUCUCCAGUUACCAAAGCCUCACCACCUCCUAGAGUCUCAGCUUUAAAGAUAGACUCUUGGCAGCCAGUAGGGUGGGGGUUUUCUGCUACAGAACCAGAGAGCAUCACCUCCUGUGCGUUCUCGCCUCUCGACUUUCCGCCAGUCCUCGGUCAGCACGGCCUGACAUGUCUCAGAAACUACCAUGUUGCUUUGGGGGUUCGGGGGGAGGUAUGGGGGUCAGUAAGUAAUUUGUGAACAAAGGCUCAAAUCUGGCUGUCCUUGUGGGGACCCCAUGCUCCCCUCUGUCUGCACGGUGCUCACUCUUCCCUGCCGGAUGUCAUGGGAUGGAAUGCUGAGGGUACGACAGAGACAAAGCUGUAGAAAUUGUCAGGCGCUUUCCUAACUUGAAUUUUUCCCAACACCCACUUUUAAUGAUGGUUCCUAAAUGCUUUAACCUCCUUUUAGCCCACCACCCACCAAAGGUAGUGGGAAAGAAAGGAUACAGGGGGAGUGGACCUGUUUAGAAAGGUUCUUUGGAGCAACUCCCAUCUGUGCUGUCUGGAAAUCACCAAUUCAGUUCACAGGUAGUCAGUAGGAGCUCGAUCCACUUGCAAACACUUUAUGGUUACACCAGCAGUCUGAUUUAGCAGAGUCAGGAUAGCAAACACGAAUCAGGGCUGGAGAGAUGGCUCAGCCGUUAAGAGCACCGACUGGGGCUGGGGAUUUAGCUCAGUGGUAGAGCGCUUACCUAGGAAGCGCAAGGCCCUGGGUUCGGUCCCCAGCUCCGAAAAAAAGAACCAAAAAAAAAAAAAAAAAAAAAAAAGCACCGACUGUUCUUCCAGAGGUCCUGAGUUCAAAUCCCAGCAACCACAUGGUGGCUCCCAACCAUCUAUAAUGAGAUCUGAUGCCCUCUUCUGGUGUCUGAAGACAGCGACAGUGUACUUAUAAUAAAUAAAUAAACCUUAAACAAACAAACACAAAUCAGCAGCAGUGGCUACCUAGUAGAGACAGCCAGGCCUCAUCCUCAGCCCUAGUCAUCAGGAGGGACCAGGAGGAAGGCCAGGAAAAGUUCUUGGCUGUGCCUCUCUUGGAAGCAAAGAUCAGCGAAGACUGGUGUUGCACAGCCAGCUCUAAAAGCAAGCCAAGCUCAGCCCCAGUCACUGUCCAUCAAAUCCUUUUCAUACUCCCUCCAAACAUCACACGUCCUCCACGGGUCUUGCCUCAGCAGGUGCGACUGUCACAGCUGACAUCAUGCAAAGAGUCCUUCAUCACGUGUCCUUUCACAGUCUCGCUUUAGCAGAGCAUCCUCUCUCCUGUGUCUGCUUCAGCUAAAUGUUCCUUCACGUGUGUGUGUCCUGGCAAAACACCAUCCAAACAACUGUCCAAAGAACACUUAACGCUCCGCUUCAGAGUUUCAUACCAUUCUUAAGUUCCAAGACAGAAUGAAGUCACUGGAGGGGCCUUUCUAUCUGGGGUACCUGGCAACAGCCUUCCACCCAAUGGACACCUUACAACGUGGUACCCAGAGGAACCUGGUGUGACACGUGGUGGUGUGACAGGUGGAGCCAGACAAGCGCCUGUGAACCGUUGGCUGAGUGGACUCUUCUGCUGGAUGAUGAAGACCACGAUUUCUUCUGACGAGCUGCUUUUCUCAAGGAACUUCCUGGCUCCAGCUGUCUAAUUGAGGGCAAGUUAACCUCUGAGGGAAAUAGAUCCUGGCCAACAGUGUGAUCUCGUAGUCCCUAGGAUGACUGUCAUUUCCCUUUCUUGUCCCCUGGAGGACAGCCAAAAGCCCUGAGACCUGUGUCCGCAUGUUGAAGAUCUCAGAUUCAGAUUUCAGCAGAGAGCUACCCACAUGCCAUCCACCACCGGAGAUGCUCUGUACAAAUCUGCCCAAAAUAAAUAUGGCGCUCGUGACACAA